Molecule: ribosomal RNA, 301 nt
Filed under: uncultured bacterium
Lineage: Bacteria
Description: partial 16S ribosomal RNA
Rfam family: Bacterial small subunit ribosomal RNA
Source: RNAcentral
CAGCCGCCACGGGAAUACGUAGGUGGCAAGCGUUGUCCGGAAUUAUUGGGCGUAAAGGGCUCGCAGGCGGUUUCUUAAGUCUGAUGUGAAGGCCCCCGGCUCAACCGGGGAGGGUCAUUGGAAACUGGGAAACUUGAGUGCAGAAGAGGAGAGUGGAAUUCCACGUGUAGCGGUGAAAUGCGUAGAGAUGUGGAGGAACACCAGUGGCGAAGGCGACUCUCUGGUCUGUAACUGACGCUGAGGAGCGAAAGCGUGGGGAGCGAACAGGAUUAGAUACCCGCGUAGUCCCUGUCUCUUAUAC